This 2924-nucleotide long non-coding RNA is filed under the name Nicotiana benthamiana. RNAcentral describes it as "long non-coding RNA (NBEN_LNC022439)". Lineage: Eukaryota; Viridiplantae; Streptophyta; Magnoliopsida; Solanales; Solanaceae. The record is from RNAcentral.
CGAACAUCUUUUCGCUUCUUUUGUGUAUAAUCCUGUUUAAUCUCGAAUUUUAUCAGUUUCGGUGACCAAAUAAUACAACGCAGACAAAAAGUUCCUAGAUUGACAAAGCAAUUUUUAUAAGUAAUGAGAAAUGUUUUAUUGACAAAGCAUAUAGGAAAUAAAAGUGUCAGAUCUCAAUUAUUGCAUCUGCAUCAUGUACAAUGCUGAAUUCGCACCAAAAUGCCAACAAAGAAAUGCAUCUAUGUUUAAGGCUAAGUAUGCAUAUAGGAAAUAAAAGUGUCAGAUCUCAAUUAUUGCAUCUGCAUCAUGUACAAUGCUGAAUUCGCACCAAAAUGCCAACAAAGAAAUGCAUCUAUGUUUAAGGCUAAGUAUGCAUAUAGGAAAUAAAAGUGUCAGAUCUCAAUUAUUGCAUCUGCAUCAUGUACAAUGCUGAAUUCGCACCAAAAUGCCAACAAAGAAAUGCAUCUAUGUUUAAGGCUAAGUAUGCAUAUAGGAAAUAAAAGUGUCAGAUCUCAAUUAUUGCAUCUGCAUCAUGUACAAUGCUGAAUUCGCACCAAAAUGCCAACAAAGAAAUGCAUCUAUGUUUAAGGCUAAGUAUGCAUAUAGGAAAUAAAAGUGUCAGAUCUCAAUUAUUGCAUCUGCAUCAUGUACAAUGCUGAAUUCGCACCAAAAUGCCAACAAAGAAAUGCAUCUAUGUUUAAGGCUAAGUAUGCAUAUAGGAAAAUUCCUCUUUUUGCCUUGAGACUCUUGUUUCUUUCAAUCCAUACAGCACUCCACCAGAUUGUGGUGAGGCAUGCCUCCUUGACCAAGUGGAACAGGAAGCUCUCAAGGGAGCUUUGUUGCAAUAGAUAUCCAUAGCCAUACACAAUUGACAGAAGAUGCAUGCCCUAAGUAAUCAAUGUCAGAUAUGAAUGUUGAUCGUGCUCCAAGAUAACAUUUCAAUGGAAAUCAUCUUUGACUAGUAUGAUGAAUCCUAAAAUUCACCACAGCCGGUCGCACUGACAUUGCUUGAAACAAAAUUGGCAAGAAUGCAAGAUCACUUGACUUUCUCUGGUCACUGCCAUUCACCUUGCCUUCCUGAAAAUUAGCAAGAAUGCCAGCAUAUAAGCAAAUACUGCACUGAUUGGAAGUGCCAAUUUAGAAUUCAAAGCACAAAGAAAUGGGGAACAUACAGCAAGUGUAGCCUUUCUGAAUGACAACAAAACGAUAUGGGCAGCAAGGCACAAAUGACAGUUAUUAUCAGAAGGCAGAAAGUUAAUUAUUACUGGAUCAAUGCCUGACACCUCUGACUUCAAGCACUUUCAACCAAACAGGAUCUUUCUUUCAGAACAACGGAGGAGAAAAUUGAACAGCAGGCUAGUCAUUUUAUUGUGGUUAGCAGACACCCCUUGAUUUGGCUGCUAAAGAUUCUUCUUUCAGGUAACACUAUCAGAAAAAGCAGAUACAGAUAGGCAGAAGUAAACACCAGACUUCUGACUCCAAGCUAUUUCAACCAAAUAGAACCUUGCUUUAACAAUAUCAGACAUGAUAUUACUGACAAUGCUACAGCAAGAUAGAGUUACGCGUUAACGUGAAACCAACUGAUUUUGUUAGAUCCACAUCCUACCCAUGUUCAAGAGUUCAAGGUUCGUAACUGGUUCUAGUUGUUCAGAAUUCAGACCUCGUGGAAGAGCACAGAUCUGCUGAAUAAGGAAAGAACAAACUCAGUAAGAAACUCAUGAUUCUGCUAAUGAAUUCAGACAAAUAAUAAAUCCUCAAUAUAACAAGCUAUAUCUCAACUCACAGUAAAUGCUUGAGUUCCUGCAAAAGUAAAACCAUUUUCAGAAUGCCAUGUAUGAACAAAUUUUAAAAGUGAAUUAAGAGUUAAGACGAGACUAAUGCAACAGGUAUGAAAGAAAAUAGAGCUCUCCCCCAAAACCUGCCAAACAAGUAGGAAGUUAAAGCUAUACAAGUAGGUGAGCUUUAAUGAGCUCACUGAAAAGAGUGUUCUUCAUCUGAUGGGGCAAGUUCCUGUAGGAAAGCAAACAAAGUACUAUAUGUUCCUGUAGGAAAGCAAACAAAGUACUAUAUGUCCACCGAAUGGAUUCCAAUAAACCUCCCAAAGUUAAUCACGGUAAUUAGUAGGCAACCAAAGAAGUCCAGCAACCUAAUAUAGGCAUUUGACACCCCGAAAAAGGAUAAUUGCCACUACUUAAAGUGAUUACACAGUAAAACCAUAUAUAGUUAAGGUUAUACAAAUAGCUGCACUGCAUAUAGUUAAAGCCUCAUGUGGCAUCAACUUGAGCGCACAUCAACGUUUGUAGACAUAAUAUUGUUAUUCCUAAAUAGUUACCAUAAAGCUACAGUCCAUGGGAUUGUCCAAUAUAAGUGCCUCCUACAAAUGGCAAGACAACCAGGUCUGCCAUGUAAAUUAUAAAAUUGUUCUUAUUCCUGUCCCAAAAGGCAGGAAAUUUUAAAACAGACGAAAGGAAGGAAAUUUAUUAUAUCUAGCUCAUGUCCAUUCCAUCUCCAACUUGACUGCAAAUGGGACUGACAGCAGUGAAAGAUCUCUCAAAUGGUGAUGGAUGGAAAUGUGCAUCCCUUCUGCGCUUAAAGGCGCAGCUAUCAGAAGGGGAACUUUCAGCAUCAAACUUCCUCCGUACACCUUUCACAGCCUGCACUUCAGCUGAUGUUAAAGGGAAAAUCUGCUUGCUAACUCUGCAAAGAGAGUUAUGAUUAUCAUACAGUAUUCGCUGGUUACAGUUUUUGUCACAAAUGUGUGUCAUCCCAGUUAGACGGCAGCGGUACAUGUUCCCACAAACAUGUUCAUUUGCACAUUUCCAAUCGCAUUUGUGAACAGGGUUUGGGCCAUCUUGGCCAAGAAUAGUUGAAAGAUAUAUAACAUUUGUAGGCACUGCUACCAUAGAUUUUCCAAGUACCUCCAU